CAUUUGGAAGGUGUAGAAAUCUAAUCACAUUUUCUGCCUCAAGGGACUGAGCAGCUCCCAAUAAGAUUUUCCUGAGUGUGUCUCUGCAGCAGCUGGUGGGAGUGACAUGACUGGUGAGACUGAGACAGCCUGGGGCUCAGAGCAGAUGGUAGUCUGAAAGGGACAGAAUGAGAGAGGGAGCUGGAGAAAGAAAUGAAUAAACACGAAUGCAUCUGGAGAAUGAGGCAUCUUGGAAUCUGGAAGGUGAGGCAUCCUGGAAGAGAGAUGAAGGUUCAAGCUCCAAGAUGUCCAGAACCAAACGCGAAGAAGAAUUACUGAAAUGGAUAUAUGCAAAACUCGUCAAGAUUCUCAUUUGGCUACAGCAAAUUAUUUGGCGAGUUGAAAGUUUAGUUGUGUUAAUGAUAUGCUACACCUUCUAUACCUGUAAUGUGCCAAAAAUAACUGAACACUUUAGAUUUCUCUUUAAAUCCAGUAAUAAUCCAUUAAAGAGAUAAAGGUGCCAAUGUGCAGGCAAGUAAACCACAUUGCCAAGUAUACAAGCUAAUACAUUUCCCAGGAUGGAUUUAGAGUUUCCUAUUUUAAGCAAAAUUUACAGAAAGUUAAAUGCACAAAUCUUCAGUGCACAAUUACACGAGUUUAGCAACUAUAUACAUCCAUGUAAACAACACUAUCAUGAUGAAGAACAUUUUUAUCACCCAGGAAAUUACUUCAUGUCCCCUUCCAGUCAAUCCACUCUCCACAGGAAACAACUAGGGUUCUGAUUUUUAUCAUUAUGUACUAGAACUUCACAUCUUAGGAAAUCAUAUAGUGCUGUCUCAUUUGUUUCUUGCUAGUUUAGGCAGUAUCAUUUUUUUGAAAUCCAUUCAUAUUGUUCCAUGUUAUCAGUAAUUUGUUACCUUGAUGUAGCUGAGGAGUAUUCCAUUAUAUGAAUAUACCACAACUUAUGUACCCAUUGUACUCUUGACAUUGGCUAUUGUUAGUAAAGCUUUUGGCUAUUUACUAGUAAAGCUGCUAUAAACAUGCUCAAGUCUUGUUGUAGAAACAUUUUCAUUUCUCGUAGGUAAAUAGUUAAGGAUGGAAUUUCUGAGUCACAACAGAGGUAUAUGCUUAACUUUAUGAAAAUCAUCAAGCUGUUUUCCAAACUGGAUGCUCCAUUACCUACUUCUCUGAGUAAGAUCUGGGAGUUCCACUUACUCCACAUCCUCACCAACAUUUGUUGUUGCCACAACGAAGUGGUGCAAUAGUUUAUUUUUAUUUUCAUUUACAUUUCUCUGAUGAUUAAUGAUAUCAAGCACAUUUUCAUGUGCAGUUCACCAUUUUUUUUAAAUGUCCAAAACUUUCAUUCAGUUGUAAAAAAAAACAACAGUAUCUUUUUAUUAAUGGUUUUCUCUUGUUCUGGGUGAAGUUCAUCAUCGAAUAUAUAUUGCUAAUAUUUUUUCCCACAUUACAGCUAAACUUUUAAUUUUCUUUUGAUGAGCAGAGAAUUUUUGUUGUUUUAUUUUUGUGAAAUCCGAUUUAUUGCUUUUUUGCAGCUAGUGUUUUUUCUUUCAUCUCUAUAAAAUCUUGCCUAGCCUAAGAUCGUAAUAUAGUCUUCUGUGUUUUUUUCUUCAUAAAACCUUUACAGCUUUAGCUUUUAUAAUUGAAUCUAUAAUUUAUCUACAUUAAUUUUGUGAAUAUUGUUAAUUGUGGCUAAGAUUCAUUAUUUCCAUGGUUAUCUAGUUAUUCCAGCAUUGUUUGUUCAAAAAGACUUUCCAUUGAAGUGUCUUUGAGCUUUUAUUGAAAUUAACUGACUAUGUGUGUACUGAUUUCUUUCUGAGCUUUACUUUGUCCCAGUGAUCAGCUUGUAUACCCUUAUGCUAAUGCAAUACUAUCUUGAUUAUUGUGGCUUGCUGCAGGUCUUGAUAUAAAGUAAUAUAAUUUAUCUGAAUUUGUUCUUUUUCAAGAUAGCUUUGGAAGUUCUUUAUUUCUUGUAUUUUCAUAUAAAUUUUAGAAUAAACUUGUCUAUUUCCACCAAAACAAUGCAAAUUUCAUUUAGUUUGUAAUUAGGUCUAAUCAAACCAUAUUAAAUCUUCCAGUUCAUUAACAUGUUCUCUAUCUUCAUAAACUUAGGUCUUCUUUAAAUCUCUGAGGAAUAUGUUAGAAUGUUUAGCAGAGUUUCUGUAUCUUUUUGGGUAGUGCAGAGGGGGGCAUAAAGAGAGAAUGGUUAAUGGGUACAAAAAUACAGUUAAAAAGAAUAAGAUCUAGCAUUCAGUAGUACAAUAGCACAACCAUAGUUAAUAAUUUAUGGUAUAUUUCAAAAUAACUAAAAGGGUGGAAUUGAAAUGUUCCUAACACAAAGAAAUGAUAAAUAUUUGAGGUGAUGGCUACCCUAAUUUGAUCAUUACACGUUGUAUGCUUGUAUCAAAAUAUCACAUGUACCCCAUAAAUGUGUAUAACUAUUAUGUAUCCAUAAUUAAAAUUUAUUAAAUAUAUAUGGUCUGUUUAUGCUUUAUAAAUGGUAUAUUUACAUUUUCCAAAUGCUUGCAGCUAAAUAGAAAUACAACUUUUUAUUUUUUAUUGAUGUUAUAUCAAUCAUUGCCAUAGGCUACCUGUAAUAUGUCAGAAACUCUAUUAAAGAUUCUACAUUUCAAUAUUUUAUGGCAAUCUAUUUAAGAGAAAAGGAAACUGAGGCAGAAAUAAAUGAAUUAUACAUUCAAGAACAUAAAUCUACAAUGUUUAAACUGCUCUGCUUACGUCAUAAUAUGGAGCACCUUGAGUAUCACAUCCUUGAGGGCAUGGGCCUACCAGUCAGUGAGUUUCCCUGGUAGGUCUUUCAGCAGGGAAAUAUAAGGAUGUUUUAAGAAACAUAUACAGAUGGAGGUGGGAAAAAUGAAAUGGAUGGGGCGAUGAGAUUCAGACUGCAUGUUGUCAAAUAUCUCACAUACUGCCAGCCACCUCCAAUUCAACCCCAUUUCUUUAAGUUUGCUAGGAGUGAAGUUUCAUGCUGCCACUUUGGAAAACAGUCUGGUAGUUGUUCAGUGAUAAAACAUAGAAUUAUCGUAUGACCUAGCAGUUUCAGUGCUAAGUACACACUCAAGAGAAAUGAAAAUAUAUGUCCACACAAAAACCUGCAUGUGAAUAGUUAUUGGAGCAUUACUUACAAUAGUCAAAAGGUGAAAACAACCUAACUGUUCAUGAACUGAUAAAUGGAUAAGAAAAAUGCAAUGCAUCUAUUUAAACGAAACUAUUUGUCUAUGAAAGGAAUGAAGUAUGAUCCAUGCAACGUGAAUGAACCUUGAAUAUAUUAUUAUGCUAAGUGAAAAGCCAGUCACAAGAAGACCACAUAUCAUGUAAUUCC
This is a long non-coding RNA of Pan troglodytes (chimpanzee), 3337 nucleotides long. RefSeq lists it as uncharacterized. The record is from RefSeq and is a predicted model, not a curated record. NCBI's taxonomy places the organism in Eukaryota, Metazoa, Chordata, Mammalia, Primates, Hominidae. The transcript is spliced from 3 exons.